Molecule: long non-coding RNA, 883 nt
Organism: Nymphalis io (European peacock)
Lineage: Eukaryota; Metazoa; Arthropoda; Insecta; Lepidoptera; Nymphalidae
Exons: 4
Source: RefSeq, a predicted model, not a curated record
GUCAUAGCUCGCUCGCCCUCGUAUACUUGGAUCGUGACAGCUGGCUGGUUGUCGGAGUACGUCGUGAAUGUUUGCGACUGCUUGCAAGGGAUCUUGCAGUUGCGCUCGAUGAUCUUCGUCAUAACGCCUCCCGCCGUCUCGAUGCCCAGAGAUAGAGGUGCGACAUCCACCAACAAGACGUCCUGGAUCUUAGAGUCGUUCUCGCCGCUCAGGAUAGCUGCCUGAACCGCCGCGCCGUAGGCGACCGCUUCAUCAGGGUUGAUGGACAAGUUCAGCUUCUUACCGCAGAAGAAGUUCUGCAGCAAGCUCUGGACUUUCGGUAUGCGAGUGGAACCGCCCACGAGGACCACGUCGUGGAUCUGACUCUUGUCCAUUUUGGCAUCUUUCAACGCUUUCUCGACGGGUUCUAGAGUGCCGCGGAAGAGGUCAGCGUUGAGUUCCUCAAAUCGGGCGCGAGACACGCGGGUGUAGUAGUCGAUUCCUUCAUAGAGGGCGUCUAUUUCGAUCGACGCCUCCGUACUCGAUGACAGUGUACGCUUCGCUCGCUCCGCGGCCGUGCGGAGGCGUCUCAGAGCGCGCGGGUUCGUUCUCAAAUCUUUUUUAUACUUGCGCUGGAACUCGUCGGCUAGAUGAUUCACCAGUCUGUUGUCGAAGUCCUCGCCUCCGAGGUGAGUGUCGCCGGCCGUCGCCUUUACCUCGAAUAACGAACCUUCAUCGAUAGUCAAGAUCGACACGUCGAAGGUACCACCGCCGAGAUCGAAGAUCAGAACGUUUCGCUCGCCUUUCAAGUUCUUGUCCAGACCGUAGGCGAGUGCGGCAGCUGUGGGUUCGUUGAUGAUCCUGAGAACGUUCAAACCUGCUAUGGCGCCGGCGUCCUUCGUCG